UGGCCGCUCAUGUGGGGCAUCGUACUCACCAAGUACCUGCAGGUCAGGGCGCGGCGAGGGCGGGGUUUAACUUUGAACCAAUCCCGUAAGGAAACAGUUGCUCUGUAGAAGAAACUGCAGCCGCAUAUGCGAGCUGUGGCGAGGGCGGGGGAGGGGGUGGGAGUAAGGUUGAUGGGGUUUCGAAGGCAGUGCGCAGGGCCAGGCUGGGCUGCCCUGCAAGGCUGCAAGAUGGGAAAGGGGCGCUUCUUACCCAGAGCUUGUACGCACACAAGUGCCUUCGCGGUCGCGCUACAUUAGAUCACGCUGGUUUGGGCAUUUGGGUCACGCCUGCACAACAGGUUCAGAACGUGAUGGCGGCUCCCUCGGUUAUCGCGGUCCUGACCUUCCUCAUGAACAUCGCCUUCAACGCCAUCCUAGUCCGGUGGGUGCCCCCGCGUGUACGUCAAGAAGAGCCUAACACAAGUUACUGAAAUGAAGUUUAUAGAUAGGAUGCGCACUCACGAUGCGCAGUGGGGAGUGCUCCAAACGCGCCGCAUGCUCUGCCAUACGCCAUCACCAAGUGGAAAGUGGUGGAGUGGAAAUUCACCUUCCUGCUUUCUACGUCGCCUGGCGCCCACUGUUGCUGCAUGAUGCAUGACGCCGCGCCUGACGCCGCGCGCCUGUUGCCGCCGCUACCGCAGCGAGCUGGGCUUCCGGGGUGCGCCGCUGGCGACCACCUUGUCGCGUUGGGCGCAGGUGCGGACGUGUGUGUGUGGGAGUAUGCGAGAGGGGGGGAAUAUGUGUGGAAGUAUGUGUGGGAGGUUUGACUCGGGUGGAAGGUGUGGGAAUAGAUAGGGAAAGGCAAGGGUGGAGAGGUCUGGGACGUGCGGGGGCAUCGCGAGCCACGGCAAGAAGAGUGACAGACAAGGAGUGGACGGGCCCGACACGUACCACACAUUCCACACGUGUUGUGUGUGUCGGGUACUGUAUUAUGUGUUUGCAAUUUUGUCUGUGCUAAAAACAAACAGCAAAUUGAAGCCUGCCCAGAUGUCCAGAGUUACUUUUGUGUGUGUGUGUGCGCGCGCGCAUUGCAGUUUGUGAUGCUGGUGGGGGUGGUGGCGCACCACGAGUGGCACCGCACUCGCCAGCCGCCGCCGCCGCCCGAGGCCGAGGAGCAGCUACUGCUGCAGCCUCAGGAGCAGCAGCAGCACCCUCAGGAGCAGCUACUGCUGCAGACUCAGGAGGGGGAGCAGCGGUCGGUCCGGCAGGCGGCGGUUGAGGGCGAUGGGGAAGGCGAGGCGAUGGCGCUGCUCGCUCCGCCCGGCGACGAGACCGCAGCAUCAGCAGCAGCAACAUUCGCAGCAGAUCCCGGCACGCCGGGCGCAUUAGCAGCCAACGGCGACAGUCCACAACCCAACGGCACCCAUACCGGCGGCGUGCACGGCGGCGACAGCGGCGGUGGCGGCGGUGGCGGCGGCGGUGGCGGCGGGAACGGCAGCAGCGGCGGUAGCGUCGCGGUGCUUGUGGUGGGCGCCGCGGAGGAGGAGGGCGCCGCCGGGUGCGGUGAUGGGGCGCGCAGAGGCAUGCGUGGAGGGCAGGAGCACGAGCAGGAGGAGGAGCAGGAGGAGGAGGCGGCGGGCGCUGCUGCCAAGGCGGCGGUGCCCCUACAUGCCGGCCGGAAUCCGGAUCUAGACUGGGCCUUGAAGCACGACAACCCGCAGCCGCCGCCAUUCGGGACAAAUGGAGCGGCUUCAAUGAAAGGCAGCAGGGCGGCUGGGGCGACGGAGAAGUCUGCGCUGCUAGCAGGCGUGGCGUCGAGCUCCGCUGCGCCAGGUGCUGCUAACGGCUUCAGUGGCGGCGGCUUCAGUGGCGGCGGCGGCGGCGGCGGCAUGUCGGCGGUGGCCUCGGCCUGGGCGGUGGACGCGCUGGCGGAGUGCCGGGCGGCGGUGGCGCCGGGGGUGAUCCUCAGGUUCUGCAAACUGGGCAUUCCCGGCGGCCUCAGCAUGGCGUUCGAGGUGUGUGCUUGAGGGGGUAUGGGGGGUGGGGGCGCUGGGGGAUUGUGAUAACAGCCCAAACUGAACCGAAACCCAUGCAAAAGAGCGAGGAGGAGAGCGUGGCCUAUGCGUUGGCAACGGAGUGGCACUCGACAGUAUUCCCCUUCCCCAACAUGCACCGAGGGGGUGUGGGCAUCUGUUGUUGGUGCUGGUAUUGGGGGCCCCGGUAUUGAUGUUGUAGUAGUAUGCUUGUCACCACGGCUUGUGGCUGAGAAGUACGACACAAGCACAGGUUGCACACACAAACACACACACACACACACAUACACACACACACACUUCGUUAUGUUGUUUUUUUAACGCAUACACGACACAUGUGCGUCCCUUUUGUGCUCCCUCCCUCCUUCCCUCCCUGAACAGGUGGGCUGCUUCGAGUUCUCCACCAUCCUGGCGGCGGCGCUGGGCCCCGCCAUCACCGCCGCCCACGCCGCCAUGUUGAGUCUGGUGGCACUCACCUACCUGGCCUGCCCCUUCGCGCUCGCCACCGCCGGCGCCAUCCGCGUGGGCAACCUGCUGGGCUCGGGUGAGCAGGAGGAGACGGAGGAGGCCCGGGGGGGGGGGUGUUCAUCAGUCUCAGUGUGCGCUUUUAUAUGUGCGCUUAUAUCUGUGCGAAAAAUCGGGUGGUAAAUCACCUUUCACCGUAGUCACACACACACACACACAUACACACACACACACACACACACACACACACACACACACACACACACACACACACACACACACACACACACACACAGCCCACCACACGCACACACGCACACACACACACACGCACGCAACAGGCCAGCCCGAGCCCGCGCGGCGCUCGGGGCUGCUGGCCAUCGCGCUCAGCGGCGGCUUCAUGGCGCUCAUGGCAGUGGGGCUGCUGGCCAGUCGCAGCGUGCUGGGCCGCGCCUUCAGCAGCGACCCCCAGGUGGUGGGCGUCAUCCGCGACCUCACCCUGUUCGCGGCGCUGUUCCAGGUGGGGCGGGGGCCUGGGAAAGAAGAGAUGGGGAAAGUGUGUGCGUGUGUGUAUGUGUGUGUGUGUGUGUUAUAGGGCACAAGGAGUAAUGUGGUGGGUGGGUGGGUGCUCGUUUGGGUUGGGGGUUGCGUGGUUGGGGUGGGGUGGAGGGGGAGUCAUGUGCCCAAACCCAACGAACCAGGGAGGGGAGGCGUGGGGCUGGAGUUGGGGGUUCCGAGGGGGUUUGACACGGUGACAUGAGGUUUGCUUGGGGCGUGUCUGGAAUACAAGAGGUUGCAGGGCUUCGGUUUUGCACGUCUUGCAGGUCCAGCAGGUCACUAGGGUUUCUCACCCCCGGUUUUAGUGGCGCCUGGAGACGGCCGACUAGGGUUUCUAAAACCCGUUCCCAGUUGCCUGUCCCAACUUCCCGCCGCCUAAACCCUGUAACCCACAUGCGCUCCCCGCCACCGCACCCACCCUACACUCCCGCCGCCGCCACCACCACAACCACAACCACCACAACCACCAGCCACCCAUCCCACACUCUCCACACACACACACCCCACACACUCCCACAUACUCCCACACUCCCCCACACUCCCCCACAUUCCCACACUCCGCACCCCCACCCCCACACUUGUUCGCGUGGUCGUGCCGUUUUUUAUGCUUUUACUUUGGCUCUCACUACUACUCGCAUUGCACGUUUGCUUAUAUGUCUGUGCCGCCUGUUUGCCGUUUGAGUCCGCCACGCCUUACUGCCGCUCGCCCAUUUCCUGUGUGUGCUUUCCCCUGCGCGCGCGGCUCUGGCGUGGCUUGCAUUGCUGAGCGCUUAGGUGAGUUCGCGGGGUCCCGGUUUCGCGCCGCAGCAGCUAAGCUAGCCACCUAGACGCAUGCACUCAGCUUCUUUACCAACGAGCCUUACUUAUCACCACUACUACUCCAGACUACUUGCUUUCAAUAGGAACUUAGUAUUUUAGCGUUAGCCGCCACGGAAACACGGGGGAGCCAGCAGCCUGCCGCUGGCGAAACAACGGUAUGGAAUGCGUCGCGUGUGCCCGCUGUACCUCUGGACGUCGGCACUUCACUUCAUAUUUGAUACCCUUGGACCGGGCCUCGCGCUUCAGGCGGACAAUGUCCUUCUCCUGUGGGCAUGUAGAAAAUGGCGAGCCAGAUGUGGUCAGCCCACAGCUGAAUAACCCUGUCCAGCGAUCCUGCCAGUAGAACAUCCCAUGAAUGACCCGAUUAGCGGCAGCUGCGCCUAAACCAGUUCUGUCCGCGACACCCUCCUGGCCGGCCGAAGCAGCCGCCCUUGGCGGCUGCGCUGCAAACUGCAAGGCCUCCAGUGGGUCCGCUCGUCGCCGCUCCUGCCCCAGUGGAUGCUGUUCCACAUAUACAAGAGGGCAUGCCUGCGCCCGCUCCGCUGCCGUUGCCAUGGGCACUGCGCCAUCGCCGAGCACCCCCUUGCGACCGCAACCGAGCUGACCUGAGUGCGGUACUCGGCCACAUACUUCUCCGCGCGCUUGAAGAUGUCCUUGCGAGUGGCGUAACACCAUCCCAUGGAUGGCUACCCCCACACUCCCACACUUCCCACACACACCCCACACCCCCGCGGCGCGCAGGUGAGUAAAAAGCAAGUCGGGUAUAGGAAAGUCCAGCGGCGGUCGCGUUGCACUCGCAUCCGCAUAUGCAUCCGAGCGCUACUGAGCUAUACGUGAUCGUUUUACUGACGUUACUACAAUACGAUCAACCUACUUAGAAUAGUCGUUAGACAAAAUGGGAGAGCAGCAGCAGCAGCCUUCGGCGGGUCUACGCGCUGGAGCUGGCCGCUGGACUUCACGGACAUCGGUAACAACGCGUCUACGCUGCAACUGUACCAGCCUACGACUUCACUUCUUAAUUAAUCAUGAAUGUAACCCCCCACACGCCCCCCCCCCGCCCUGCCCGCCCAGGU
Molecule: long non-coding RNA, 4927 nt
Filed under: Chlamydomonas reinhardtii
Lineage: Eukaryota; Viridiplantae; Chlorophyta; Chlorophyceae; Chlamydomonadales; Chlamydomonadaceae
Description: long non-coding RNA (CREI_LNC000015)
Source: RNAcentral